GAGUUUGAUCAUGGCUCAGAGCGAACGCUGGCGGCAGGCUUAACACAUGCAAGUCGAGCGCCUGUAGCAAUACAGGAGCGGCAGACGGGUGAGUAACGCGUGGGAACGUACCUUUUGGUUCGGAACAACACAGGGAAACUUGUGCUAAUACCGGAUAAGCCCUUACGGGGAAAGAUUUAUCGCCGAAAGAUCGGCCCGCGUCUGAUUAGCUUGUUGGUGAGGUAACGGCUCACCAAGGCUACGAUCAGUAGCUGGUCUGAGAGGAUGAUCAGCCACACUGGGACUGAGACACGGCCCAGACUCCUACGGGAGGCAGCAGUGGGGAAUAUUGGACAAUGGGCGCAAGCCUGAUCCAGCCAUGCCGCGUGAGUGAUGAAGGCCCUAGGGUUGUAAAGCUCUUUCGGCGGGAAGAUAAUGACGGUACCCGCAUAAGAAGCCCCGGCUAACUUCGUGCCAGCCGCCGCAGUAAC
Molecule: ribosomal RNA, 470 nt
Filed under: uncultured Alphaproteobacteria bacterium
Lineage: Bacteria; Pseudomonadati; Pseudomonadota; Alphaproteobacteria
Description: bacterial SSU rRNA
Rfam family: Bacterial small subunit ribosomal RNA
Source: RNAcentral